Molecule: ribosomal RNA, 301 nt
Filed under: uncultured Nitrospira sp.
Lineage: Bacteria; Pseudomonadati; Nitrospirota; Nitrospiria; Nitrospirales; Nitrospiraceae
Description: bacterial SSU rRNA
Rfam family: Bacterial small subunit ribosomal RNA
Source: RNAcentral
ACGAGAAUGUGUAGCAAUACACAUGUAAAGUGGCGUAUGGCCGAGGAUUACAUGGGUAACCUACCCUCGAGUGGGGAAUAACCAGCCGAAAGGUUGGCUAAUACCGCGUACGCUUCCGGGACUGCGGUCUCGGAAGGAAAGCGAUACCGUGGGUAUCGCGCUCUUGGAUGGGCUCAUGCCCUAUCAGCUUGUUGGCGAGGUAACGGCUCACCAAGGCUUCGACGGGUAGCUGAUCUGAGAGGAUGAUCAGCCACACUGGCACUGCGACACGGGCCAGACUCCUACGGGAGGCAGCAGUGGG